CCCUUAGAUGUUCUGGGCCGCACGCGCGCUACGCUGAUGCAUUCAACGAGUCUAAAACCUGGUCUGAUAGGGCUGGGUAAUCUUUUGAAAGUGCAUCGUGAUUGGGAUAGAUGAUUGCAAUUCUUCAUCUUCAACGAGGAAUGCCUAGUAAACGCAAGUCAUCAGCUUGCAUUGAUUACGUCCCUGCCCUUUGUACACACCGCCCGUCGCUCCUACCGAUUGAAUGAUCCGAUGAAUACCAUGGAUUGAGAGUACGAAUGGGUUCGCUCAUUUCUGCUGCUCGAGAAGUGGAGUAAAUCUUAUCAUUUAGAGGAAGGAGAAGUCGUAACA
This 330-nucleotide ribosomal RNA is filed under the name uncultured eukaryote. RNAcentral's name for it is "partial 18S ribosomal RNA". It matches the Rfam family "Eukaryotic small subunit ribosomal RNA", at positions 1470 to 1796 of the family's 1831-position model. The record is from RNAcentral.